AGUUUUCGAAAUGUCGCAUUGUUUUGGUUUUUUAGUUUAGUUUUUGGAAAUCACGAUUCUUCGCAUUUGUCGAGUUUUUCGAUGAUUUGCAUAGAAAGACAGUACAUUAAAUUUCUACAGCAACGAACCAUCAUGAUUCGUUAAGUAGCGAUCGAAAGAAAAGAUAAUCAAGGGUGACCCUACCAACAAAAAUGAAUUUACACUCCAAGCAACUCUAAUAGAGUCUAUUUGCAAAGUCGAUAUUGUCGUUGAACUACUCGCAGCAAUUUCCAAACGUCUUUCCUGUCUACCACUAUUCUUUGAUUUCUUUUACUCUUU
Molecule: non-coding RNA, 318 nt
Organism: Schizosaccharomyces pombe (fission yeast)
Lineage: Eukaryota; Fungi; Ascomycota; Schizosaccharomycetes; Schizosaccharomycetales; Schizosaccharomycetaceae
Source: the annotation of a GenBank genome assembly